UUGAAGUUUGCAUGGAAUAAAGUAGGCUACUUGUAAAUGUAUCUAAAUUGCUAUUACGUAAUACUUUUUCUUCUAUAAAACAUAAAGAACGCAGCGGGGGUAAUAUAGCACAGGAUCACAGAAAUCUGAAUAUGAGCGCGCGUGCGUUUGUUCGAGAACACACUACCAACUGACACUGUAGCUGGCCUGUCCUUAAAAAGACGCCACGCUUUUAAGAGUAACAAGGUGAAAAUGGAAGGACAUCUGUAGGCCUCCCGUCUGUGACCCUUGAGAAUCUGAGCCACUUGCCUUUUCCACUAAAGGGUUUCCCCAACAGUGGGUGAGUUGGAACAGGCAGGCAGCCAUGCAUCUGGCUGCUGCUGUUGAGAUUAUUGUGAUG
Molecule: long non-coding RNA, 379 nt
Organism: Osmerus eperlanus (European smelt)
Lineage: Eukaryota; Metazoa; Chordata; Actinopteri; Osmeriformes; Osmeridae
Exons: 3
Source: RefSeq, a predicted model, not a curated record